UUCAGCGUCCUUAAGCACGCUCAAUCCACCAGUUCCCUGUGAAUCACUGAAGUUAAGCAACGUUGCGUGUGGUUGGUAUCUGAAUGGGUGACCAUCUGGGCGAUAGCGUUCUGCUGGUU
Molecule: ribosomal RNA, 119 nt
Filed under: Diaphorina citri (Asian citrus psyllid)
Lineage: Eukaryota; Metazoa; Arthropoda; Insecta; Hemiptera; Psyllidae
Source: RNAcentral